ACCCUCGGUAGUUCUUUGUUCAGAACUAUACCGGUUUUCAAGACCGGAGCUAUCAACCACUCGGCCAUCUCUCC
Molecule: transfer RNA, 74 nt
Filed under: Chimonanthus praecox
Lineage: Eukaryota; Viridiplantae; Streptophyta; Magnoliopsida; Laurales; Calycanthaceae
Description: partial tRNA-Ser
Source: RNAcentral